RNAcentral lists this non-coding RNA (157 nucleotides) under Thiocapsa rosea. The record is from RNAcentral. Lineage: Bacteria; Pseudomonadati; Pseudomonadota; Gammaproteobacteria; Chromatiales; Chromatiaceae.
GGGAGCCGGAUGGUGUAACACUCCAAGUCCGGUUCUGCGAGGAGCCGGGAACGAACCGUCGUAUGGCCGAGAUCAUGUGGCACCGCCGGGAAACCAGGCGGCAAACAGAGAACACAAACGUCAGCCUAACCGAUGGCAAGGACCCGGCUUACUCUCC